UUUUAUGAGAGUUUGAUCCUGGCUCAGGACGAACGCUGGCGGCGUGCCUAAUACAUGCAAGUCGAACGCUUCUUUUUCCACCGGAGCUUGCUCCACCGGAAAAAGAGGAGUGGCGAACGGGUGAGUAACACGUGGGUACCCUGCCCAUCAGAAGGGGAUAACACUUGGAAACAGGUGCUAAUACCGUAUAACAAUCAAAACCGCAUGGUUUUGAUUUGAAAGGCGCUUUCGGGUGU
This 236-nucleotide ribosomal RNA is filed under the name Enterococcus faecium. RNAcentral's name for it is "partial 16S ribosomal RNA". It matches the Rfam family "Bacterial small subunit ribosomal RNA", at positions 1 to 221 of the family's 1533-position model. The record is from RNAcentral. Lineage: Bacteria; Bacillati; Bacillota; Bacilli; Lactobacillales; Enterococcaceae.